GGCGAACGCUGGCGGCGUGCUUAACACGUGCGAGUCGAACGGAAAGGCCCUGCUUUUGUGGGGUGCUCGAGUGGCGAACGGGUGAGUAACACGUGAGUAACCUGCCCUUGACUUUGGGAUAACUUCAGGAAACUGGGGCUAAUACCGGAUAGGAGCUCCUGCUGCAUGGUGGGGGUUGGAAAGUUUCGGCGGUUGGGGAUGGACUCGCGGCUUAUCAGCUUGUUGGUGGGGUAGUGGCUUACCAAGGCUUUGACGGGUAGCCGGCCUGAGAGGGUGACCGGCCACAUUGGGACUGAGAUACGGCCCAGACUCCUACGGGAGGCAGCAGUGGGGAAUAUUGCACAAUGGGCGGAAGCCUGAUGCAGCAACGCCGCGUGCGGGAUGACGGCCUUCGGGUUGUAAACCGCUUUCGCCUGUGACGAAGCGUGAGUGACGGUAAUGGGUAAAGAAGCACCGGCUAACUACGUG
Molecule: ribosomal RNA, 468 nt
Filed under: uncultured bacterium
Lineage: Bacteria
Description: partial 16S ribosomal RNA
Rfam family: Bacterial small subunit ribosomal RNA
Source: RNAcentral